RNAcentral lists this ribosomal RNA (449 nucleotides) under uncultured bacterium. RNAcentral's name for it is "partial 16S ribosomal RNA". It matches the Rfam family "Bacterial small subunit ribosomal RNA", at positions 338 to 795 of the family's 1533-position model. The record is from RNAcentral.
CCUACGGGGGGCUGCAGUGGGGAAUAUUGGACAAUGGGGGAAACCCUGAUCCAGCAAUGCCGCGUGUGUGAAGAAGGCCUGCGGGUUGUAACGCACUUUCGGUUGGGAAGAAAAGUUUGGCGCCAAUACCGCCGAACCUUGACGUUACUGACAGAAGAAGCACCGGCUAACUCUGUGCCAGCAGCCGCGGUAAUACAGAGGGUGCAAGUGUUAAUCGAAAUCACUGGGCGUGAAGCGUGCGUCGGUUGUCAAAUCCCCGGGCUUAACCUGGGAACUGCAUUCGAUACUACAUGGCUAGAGUAUGGUAGAGGGAAGUGGAAUUGCCGGUGUAGCGGCGAAAUGCGUAGAUAUCGGAAGGAACACCAAUGGCGAAGGCAGCUUCCUGGACUAAUACUGACACUGAGGCACGAAAGCGUGGGUAGCAAACAGGAUUAGAUACCCCUGUAGUC